This 348-nucleotide unclassified non-coding RNA is filed under the name soil metagenome. RNAcentral describes it as "partial contains 5.8S ribosomal RNA, internal transcribed spacer 2, and large subunit ribosomal RNA". The stretch from base 1 to 120 matches the Rfam family "5.8S ribosomal RNA", at positions 35 to 154 of the family's 154-position model. The record is from RNAcentral.
GAUGAAGAACGCAGCGAAAUGCGAUAAGUAAUGUGAAUUGCAGAAUUCAGUGAAUCAUCGAGUCUUUGAACGCACAUUGCGCCCCCUGGUAUUCCGGGGGGCAUGCCUGUCCGAGCGUCAUUGCUGCCCUCAAGCACGGCUUGUGUGUUGGGCCCCCGUCCCCGGUUCUCCCCGGGGACGGGCCCGAAAGGCAGCGGCGGCACCGCGUCCGAUCCUCGAGCGUAUGGGGCUUUGUCACCCGCUCUGUAGGCCCGGCCGGCGCCAGCCGACACCCCAACUUUAUUUUCUAAGGUUGACCUUGGAUCAGGUAGGGAUACCCGCUGAACUUAAGCAUAUCAUAAGCGGAGG